UCUGUGACCCAGUCCAUGGAAUGGUGCCACACAUGAUCAGCCCUUUUCUUGGGAGAACAGUUGACAUCACCGCUCCCUCCAGGCCUUAUCUCUGGCUUCAUCAGAUGGUGUGAAUCUCUGCGGUCAGCCCUCCUGUGUCCUGGGUGUUCAAUAAUCCUUCACAUACGGCACUUCAGGAGAGUGAGCGCCCCAGCCCUCCACAGCCAUGGGUGGAACAUGAGCUGCCUUCAGGAAUCUGCCCUCUGGAAAGCAAAUACUGACGGGGCUUCCUGCCUCAGACUGGCAGAUCUCAGAGGCCUCAGCUCUGUCUGAUUUUCUGUUUCGGUUUGGUGUUUGUCUUUCCAUCUGUCCCCUCCUUAGGUCUUCGGUUUUUCUAAGACUGGUUUUCUCUGUUGUAGCCCUGGCUGUCUGGAACUUACUCUGUAGACCAGGCUGGCCCCAGAUCUACCUGCCUCUGCCUCCUGAGAGCUGGGAUGAAAGCUAUGUGCCACCAAACCCAGCUUUUUUAUUUUUUUAUUUUUGUUGAGAAAAGUUCUCUGUAGCCCUGGUUAUUCUGGAUCUUGGGACCAAGCUGACUCACAGAGAUCCACCUGCCUCUGCCUCCUCAGUGCUGGAAUCCAAGGUGUGUGUCACAGCACCCUGCAGUUUAAAAUUUAAAAUUAUGAGUUUUUUAAAUUACGAGUUUGUUUGUUGUAUGGACAACUUGCAAGAGUCAUUUCCAUAUUCCUACCGUGUGGAUCCCAGCGAUCAAACUCUAGUCUUCAGGUGUGGUAGUCCUCUACCUGCCAAGCCAUUUCUCCAGCCCCAUGACCCCAUUUCUUUAGCCAUAGGGUGGAUGCAGAAAAAGUCAGUAGUAUAUUCAAAACUGUCAAUAUUUGAUUGAUUAGCAGGCUGGCAAGUUAGCUCGGUAGACAAAACCUUCGCUGUACAAGGCAAGUGCCUCCACCUGCUGAGCCAUCUUGCUAGCUGCUCUGCCCUAUAUUUUAAGAUAGUUUUUUACCAAACCUAGAACUCAUGAUUCAGAUACAUUAGCCAGCGAAUUUUGGGGAUCUGGUUCCCCUCCCCCCCCCCCAAAAAAAAAAAAAAACCAACACUGGAGUUACAGACACACAUCACCUACCAGUUUUUACCUGGGUGCUGAGACUCCAAACUUGGGUCCUCAUGCUUGUGCUUCAUGGACUUCACUCACUGGGCCACAUCCCUAGCCCACUUGAUUUUAAACAAAUUUCUAAUUAACAGCCACAAAGUGGUGUUUGUAGUAUUCAUAUAUUUUAGUUUGCUGCGUGUUCCUCCAUGCAAGCCGAUGUUAACAAUUUCUGUCUUCUGAAACAUUAAUGUCAAUUUAAUGCUAACAUACCAUUUAUUUUUUAAAGAUUUGUUUUAUUAUUUUGAAAGAGAGAGAGAGAGAGAGAGAGAGAGAGAGAGAGAGAGAGAGAGAGCGCGCGCACGGACAGGCAAAUGCAGCUUAGCAGAGGAGUUUCUGUAACUGGGCUCAUAAAUGACAAGCUUAUUUCCAGGGAGUGAGACUUUUCUCCUAAGAAUUUCUCCAUGUGUGUCUCUCUGCGUGUCUGUGUGUCUCUCUGUGUGUGGUCUCUCUGUGUGUGUGUCUCGUGUGUCUUUGUGUCAGUUGUGAGCUGCCCAGCGUGGAUGUUGGAAACCAAAUUUGGGUCCUCUGAAAGAACAGCAAGUGCUCUUAACCACUGAGCCAUCUCUCCAGCCCUGCAGGAUGUUAAUUAAAGUCUACUGAUUUCAUUCCAAGAUUUGCUCAGCUUUACCUAGAUUUAAUUGGGAGUGGGGGUGGGGCAGGAUGACAUUGUGUACAGCUUUAUUGCCAGCAUGUGGCAUUGAUUUUGUUUUGUUUGGUUUGGUCUUAGGGAUUAAAUUCAGAGCCUGUGUAUUCUGAGCACAUGGUCUACCACUGAGUCAUGCCUUUAACUUAGUGUGAAGACUUUCAAAUUAAAGCCUUAUUAAAUACGUUCCCUUUUCUUUUAUGGUAACAUCUAUGUCCUAUUCCAGAAGCCUUAUCCACAAAUAGAAUUUUACAAUAAAAUAUAUCAAAUCUA
Long non-coding RNA from Grammomys surdaster, 2063 nucleotides. RefSeq lists it as uncharacterized. The record is from RefSeq and is a predicted model, not a curated record. The transcript is spliced from 2 exons. NCBI's taxonomy places the organism in Eukaryota, Metazoa, Chordata, Mammalia, Rodentia, Muridae.